RNAcentral lists this transfer RNA (85 nucleotides) under Felis catus (domestic cat). It matches the Rfam family "tRNA". Rfam says of the family: Transfer RNA (tRNA) molecules are approximately 80 nucleotides in length. Their secondary structure includes four short double-helical elements and three loops (D, anti-codon, and T loops). Further hydrogen bonds mediate the characteristic L-shaped molecular structure. tRNAs have two regions of fundamental functional importance: the anti-codon, which is responsible for specific mRNA codon recognition, and the 3' end, to which the tRNAs corresponding amino acid is attached (by aminoacyl-tRNA synthetases). tRNAs cope with the degeneracy of the genetic code in two manners: having more than one tRNA (with a specific anti-codon) for a particular amino acid; and 'wobble' base-pairing, i.e. permitting non-standard base-pairing at the 3rd anti-codon position. Lineage: Eukaryota; Metazoa; Chordata; Mammalia; Carnivora; Felidae. The record is from Rfam by way of RNAcentral.
GCCUGGGUCGCUCAGUCGGUUGAGCAUGUGACUUCGGCUCAGGUCGUGAUCUCACAGUUUGUGGAUUCAAGCCCCGCAUCAGGCU